This 305-nucleotide ribosomal RNA is filed under the name uncultured bacterium. RNAcentral describes it as "partial 16S ribosomal RNA". It matches the Rfam family "Bacterial small subunit ribosomal RNA", at positions 337 to 658 of the family's 1533-position model. The record is from RNAcentral.
UCCUACGGGGGGCAGCAGUGGGGGAUAUUGCACAAUGGGGGGAACCCUGAUGCAGCGACGCCGCGUGGGUGAAGGAGUGCUUCGGCAUGUAAAGCCCUAUCGGCAGGGAAGAAGCAAGACGGUACCUGAAGAAGAAGCCCCGGCUAACUACGUGCCAGCAGCCGCGGUAAUACGUAGGGGGCAAGCGUUAUCCGGAUUUACUGGGUGUAAAGGGGGCGCAGACGGCGAUGCAAGCCAGGAGUGAAAGCCCGGGGCCCAACCCCGGGACUGCUCUUGGAACUGCGUGGCUGGAGUGCAGGAGGGGG